RNAcentral lists this ribosomal RNA (1482 nucleotides) under Botrychium lunaria (moonwort). Its description in RNAcentral is "18S rRNA". It matches the Rfam family "Eukaryotic small subunit ribosomal RNA". The record is from RNAcentral. Lineage: Eukaryota; Viridiplantae; Streptophyta; Polypodiopsida; Ophioglossales; Ophioglossaceae.
AGCCAUGCAUGUGUAAGUAUAAACUCUCUUGUACUGUGAAACUGCAAUUGGCUGGCGUGGAACUGCGAUGUUCAUUCAAAUUUUUUGCCCUAUCAACUUUCGAUGGUAGGAUAGAGACCUACCAUGGUGGUAACGGGUGACGGAGAAUUUGGGUUCGAUUUCGGAGAGGGCCUAAGAAAUUGCUACCAUAUCCAAGGAAGGCAACAUGCGCCCAAAUUAUCCAAUCCCGACACAGGGAGAUAGUGACAAUAAAUAACAAUACCAGCCUUUUACAAGUCUGGUAAUUGGAAGGAGUACAAUCUAAACUUUAACGAGGAUCCAUUGGAGGAAAAGUCUGGUGCCAGCAACCACGGUAAUUCCAGCUCCAAUAGCGUAUAGCUAAGUUGUUGCAGUUAAAAAGCUCGUAGUUGGAUCUCUGAGCGUGGCGGGCGACCUGCCUCUUCGGGUGUGCACUGGCCAUCUCGCCCUUGCUGCGGGGGGUGUGCUCCUGACCUUAGCUGGUCUGGAUGCGGAUUCGACGAUGUUACUUUGGAAAAAUUACAGUGCUCAAAGCAAGCCUACGCUUUGAAUAUGAAAGCAUGGAAUAACAUGAUAGGACUCUGGUCCUAUUGUGUUGGUCUUCGGGACCGGAGAAAUGAUUGAUAGGGACAGUUGGGGGCUUCCGUAUUUCAUUGUCAGAGGUGAAAUUCUUGGAUUUAUGAAAGACGGACUACUCCAAAAGAAUUUGCCAAGGAUGUUUUCGUUAAUCAAGAACAGAAGUUGGGGGCUCGAAGACGAUCAUAUACAAUCCUAGUCUCAACUGUAAACGAUGCUGACUAGGGAUUGGCUAAAGUCUUUGGGUUCUGAGGGAGUAUGGUCGCAAGGCUGAAACUUAAAGGAAUUGACGAAGGGCACCACCAAGAGUGGCCAUGGCGGCAAUUGACUGAACAUGGGGAAACUUACUAGGUCCAGACAUAAUGAGGAUUUACAUAUUGAGAGCUCUUUCUUGAUUCUAUGGGUGGUGGUGCAUGGCCGCUCUUAGUUGGUGGAGUGAUUGUUUUGUUAAUUCCGUUAAUGGACGAGACCUCAUGCUGCUAACUAGUUACGUGAAGGUUCUCCUUCGCGGCCAACUUCUUAGUUGGACUAUGGCCGUCUAGGCCAUAGAUGUUCGAGGCAAUAACAAUAUGUGAUGCCAUUAGAUAUUCUGGGCCGCACGCUGCUACAGUGAUGGAUUCAACGAGUUUAUCACCUGGCCGAGAGGCCUGUGUAAUCUUCUAAAAGUUCGUCGUGAUAGGGAUAGAUCAUUGCAAUUAUUGAUCUUCAACGAGGAAUGCCAGGUAAGCGCGAGUCAUCAGCUCGCAUUUGACUACGUCCCUGCCCUUUGUACACACCGCCCGAGGCUCCUACCGAUUGAAUGGUCCAGUGAAGUUUUCGGAUUGCGGCGAUUGUUGGCGAUGUCGUGAGAAGUGCACUAAAUCAUUUAGAGGAAGGAGAAGUCGUAAC